CAGCCGCCGCGGGAAUACGGAGGGUGCAAGCGUUAAUCGGAGUUACUGGGCGUAAAGCGUGCGUAGGCGGUUCGUUAAGUCUGUUGUGAAAGCCCCGGGCUCAACCUGGGAAUGGCAAUGGAUACUGGCGAGCUAGAGUGUGUCAGAGGAUGGUGGAAUUCCCGGUGUAGCGGUGAAAUGCGUAGAGAUCGGGAGGAACAUCAGUGGCGAAGGCGGCCAUCUGGGACAACACUGACGCUGAGGCACGAAAGCGUGGGGAGCAAACAGGAUUAGAUACCCGCGUAGUCCCUGUCUCUUAUAC
Molecule: ribosomal RNA, 301 nt
Filed under: uncultured bacterium
Lineage: Bacteria
Description: partial 16S ribosomal RNA
Rfam family: Bacterial small subunit ribosomal RNA
Source: RNAcentral